CCUACGGGCGGCAGCAGUGGGGAAUAUUGGGCAAUGGAGGAAACUCUGACCCAGCAAUGCCGCGUGAAUGAUGACUGUCUUCGGAUUGUCAAGUUCUUUUCUAAGGGAAGAAGAAAGUGACGCUACCUUCUGAAUAAGCCUCGGCUAACUACGUGACAUCAGCCGCGGUAAUACGUAGGAGGCGAGCGUUAUCCGGAAUGACUGGGCGUAAAGGGUGCGUAGGUGGUUUGGCAAGUUAGUAGCGUAACUCCAAGGGUCAAACUGGGAACUACUACUAAAACUGUUGGACUUGAGUGCAGGAGGGGCAACCGGAAUGCCUAGUGUAGCGGUGGAAUGCGUAGAUAUUAGGAGGAACACCAGUGGCGAAGGCGGGUUGCUAGACUGUAACUGACACUGAGGCACGAAAGCGUGGGGAGCAAACAGGAGUAGAUACCCCAGUAGUC
This 443-nucleotide ribosomal RNA is filed under the name uncultured bacterium. Its description in RNAcentral is "partial 16S ribosomal RNA". It matches the Rfam family "Bacterial small subunit ribosomal RNA", at positions 338 to 795 of the family's 1533-position model. The record is from RNAcentral.